RNAcentral lists this long non-coding RNA (1814 nucleotides) under Hordeum vulgare. RNAcentral describes it as "long non-coding RNA (HVUL_LNC016004)". The record is from RNAcentral. Lineage: Eukaryota; Viridiplantae; Streptophyta; Magnoliopsida; Poales; Poaceae.
GCAACUAUAUAAAAUCAUAUUUCAACACAACUUUUUACAAGAUGGUCAUGGGCAAGAUCCGCGUGUGCCUAGAGCUCUCCAUCGUCAUUCCAGUACAACCGACAACUUAGAGCAAUGACUGGUUUAUCUCGGUUAUAGUGCACUUAACUUCAUUGCAACAUCGUUGACAUCUUGUUGGCAACAAAGAAGCACAUUCGGAUUUUGUUGCAGGUUUCUAUACAUUGGAAGUAUUAUGUGAGAAAUAAGGAAGCACAUAGUUGUUUUUUUAAGCGUAAGCACCUACUUCUAGGAAAGAAACAAAUUUGUCAAGCUAAUUGUGAACAUUCGACACAACCUAUCUGGAGUUCUGGAUUGAAGUACAACACAGAAAGCAUUGGUAUUUGCGAGCAUCAAUUUUUGCUAUCUCACGUCAAACAUGAGUAUAAAAAAUGGAAGCAUGGUUUAAAUGCCGGAAACUCUAUGAAAUGCAGAAGCACGAAUAUUUAUGGGAUCAUUCCAAAUAAUUCAACAUAAUAGAAAGAAGAGAUGCCAAACCUGAAAAGUGUAGUUGUACUGCCAAUCCAUGUGCACGUACAAGCACUUUUGGAUAAAAAUGAAGUAUCAAAUGUCUGUAGGAUUUUUUUUGCAAUAACAACACAUGCGAGGCCUAUCAGAAGCAUACAAAUGACAACCUAUCGGAUCUUCGGCAUGCACUCUGCUUCAGAUGAUUCAGAUUGUAUAUUGUUCAGAAGCAUCUAUAUUGCCAUUUGGAUGCUGCAUAAAAAGAAGCACAUGGACAUGGUAACUUGGGAUGGGAGCAUGGAAAUUUGAAAAAUUAACGAAAAUUAAUAUUAUGAUAAAGGUCGAGAUGCAUACAAUUAUGAAGCAUAUGCAUAUUAUAGUGUAAAACCGCAAAUGGUUAAAAAUCAUGAACAACAAGGUGUAGUUACAUAAAUACUAAUGAGUGGAAGCAUGAAUAUCCGAAGAAAAAAAUCCUAAAUGUUGUCUCUUUGCAUAUGUGAAAACAUGUAUGCAUUGUUUCUCGAAAAAGAAUUCACGCAUGUGACAUGUAUUGCUGACAUAGAUGAGAAAUAAAGAGAUCAUGUAGCAAUAGAAACUCUGUACCAUAGAAGCACAUAUACCAAAUAGAAAAACAUGGAUGUUGUGCUACAAGACAUGUGUAUAUCAAAAGCAUGCAACUUAGGUUAGAGAAAGCAAUAAUUUUAUAUUAUCUCGACAUAUUUAAGAUCACUCGUCAACAUAAAAAAAUGAUUUCAUAAUAUGACCCACCUACCGGAGAACAUGUGCACAUUGAAAUUUUGGAGGCACACUACAGAACUAAGAAUCACGAACAUACUAGUUUGGGUACACGAUAAACUUGUAUGGAAGCAUGGAAUUCUGAAAUCAUGUCAAAAACUAAAAUUACCGCCAUGAUUGAGAAUCAUAUUAUUGUGAUCUGCAUAAGAGAUUAACCAAAAUUGUCAAAUGACAUAGCAAUCAACACAUCAAAGCAAGCAUGGAGAUACACUCACAAAAUUCAUCGAAGCAAGCAUUGCAUCGAAAGUAACGCAAAUCAAAUCAAUACAUCAAAAAUGAAUCAUACCUAAUUUAUGUUACCGCAGUGCAACUUAUUUGCCGAGCCAAGGCAUAGCAGGGUGGUGUGGUAGGGUUUGAUGACGGGCCAGGCUCUGGCGGGGAACUGGACCGGUGACGAGGGUGACGCGAUCGACGGUGAAAGUAGCGUUCGACGGAGCAGAUAAGGGCGGGACGGCGCACCACCGUGUGCAUCACUUGUACCCGUCGGGAGUUGCUGGUGUACAACAGGUUGGUGGCGG